CGUCGACACCAUGCCCGCUACCAAGUGGUUACUGCUCCUCUUCUCAGUAGCCCUGUUGGGCCUGAGCUCCGCUCAAUUCACUGAUGAGGAGGAUGAACAAAAUUCAGAGGAUCCAUUAGAUGUACCAGCACCGAACGACUCCCAGGACGAUGAUCAGAACCCCGGCCAGCAACAAGGUGGUAACCAAAAACCUGGGCCUCCAGGUGGACAACAAGGAGGUCCUCCAGAGGGUCCGCAAGAAGGUCAGCAAGGUGGUCCACAAGGAGGCCCUCAAGAUGGUCAGCAGGGAGGCCGUCCAGGUGGUCCACAAGGAGGCCCUCAAGGUGGCCAGCAGGGAGGCCCUCAAAGUGGCCAGCAGGGAGGCCCUCAAGGUGGUCCACAGGGAGGCCCUCAAGGUGGCCAGCAGGGAGGCCCUCCAGGUGGCCAGCAAGGAGGCCGUCCAGGUGGUCCACAAGGAGGCCCUCAAGGUGGCCAGUAAGGAGGUCAUCCACUCUCCUCACCCCCAAGUGCAUAAGAAGGAAGAUGGACAUUCAGGAGGCACCCUCGAAGUCCUCAUGUGGACCUGGAUAUUCGAUAUACUUCUUGAUCUACU
Molecule: long non-coding RNA, 592 nt
Filed under: Vombatus ursinus (common wombat)
Lineage: Eukaryota; Metazoa; Chordata; Mammalia; Diprotodontia; Vombatidae
Description: lncRNA (ENSVURG00010008111.1)
Source: RNAcentral